Molecule: ribosomal RNA, 440 nt
Filed under: uncultured bacterium
Lineage: Bacteria
Description: partial 16S ribosomal RNA
Rfam family: Bacterial small subunit ribosomal RNA
Source: RNAcentral
ACUACGGGUGGCAGCAGUGGGGAAUAUUGCACAAUGGGGGGAACCCUGAUGCAGCGACGCCGCGUGAGUGAAGAAGUAUUUCGGUAUGUAAAGCUCUAUCAGCAGGGAAGAAGAUGACGGUACCUGACUAAGAAGCCCCGGCUAACUACGUGCCAGCAGCCGCGGUAAUACGUAGGGGGCAAGCGUUUGUCGGAUUUACUGGGGGUAAAGGGAGCAUAGACGGCAGGGCAAGGCGGGAGUGAAAGCUCGGGGCCCAACCCCGGGACUGCUUUGGAAACUGCCAUGCUGGAGUUCGGGAGAGGUAAGCGGAAUGCCGAGUGUAGCGGUGAAAUGCGUAGAUAUUAGGAGGAACACCAGUGGCGAAGGCAGCUUACUGGACAGUAACUGACGUUGAGGCUCGAAAGCGUGGGGAGCAAACAGGAUUAGAUACCCGGGUAGUC